Molecule: ribosomal RNA, 512 nt
Filed under: Anotogaster klossi
Lineage: Eukaryota; Metazoa; Arthropoda; Insecta; Odonata; Cordulegastridae
Description: partial 16S rRNA
Rfam family: Bacterial large subunit ribosomal RNA
Source: RNAcentral
GUCUUCUUGAUAAAAUAGGAAGUCUGACCUGCCCAGUGAAAAUAUUUUAACGGCCGCGGUAUAUUGACCGUGCAAAGGUAGCAUAAUCAUUAGUCUUUUAAUAGAGGGCUGGAAUGAAGGGUUUAACGAAGUACUUACUGUCUCAUUUAAUUUGAUAUUAAAAUUUACUUUUUCAGUCAAAAAGCUGAAAUACUAUUGGAAGACGAGAAGACCCUAUAGAGCUUUAUAUUUAAUUAUUUAAUAAAUUUUUGAUAUAAUUAUUAUUUAUUAUUUAAUAAAAUAUUUUGUUGGGGUGACAAAAAUAUAUAAUUAACUUUUUUAUUUAUAUAACAUUGAUAUAUGAAAAAUAGAUCCAGUUUUACUGAUUGUUAGAAUAAGUUACCUUAGGGAUAACAGCGUAAUCUUCCUUCAGAGUUCAUAUUCACAGGGAGGCUUGCGACCUCGAUGUUGGAUUAAGAUUAUAAUUAGGUGUAGCCGCUUAAAAAAUAGGUCUGUUCGACCUUUAAAUUCUU